AACGCAUCUUGCACCCCUUGGUGAUCCGAGGGGUAUGCCUGUUUGAGUGUCUUUAACGCAUCGAACCCCUUCCACUCCUUUGGAAGGGCUUCGGACGUGAGCGCUGCCGUCGACCCCCGAUCGGCUCGCUCGAAAAGCGUUACAUCUCUGCGUCCGGUGCGUCUGACCGUCGGUUGGUGUCGUAGAACUCCCCCCAGAGGGCUGUGAAUCCACCUCGUCCGAUCGGUCGUCCUCCGCGACUGGAGCUUUGUCCCCUCUCGCGUCUCCCGAGACGCGCGUUUCGAAUUCGGACCUCAAAUCAGGUAGGACUACCCGCUGAACUUAA
Molecule: unclassified non-coding RNA, 325 nt
Filed under: uncultured fungus
Lineage: Eukaryota; Fungi
Description: partial contains 5.8S ribosomal RNA, internal transcribed spacer 2, and large subunit ribosomal RNA
Rfam family: 5.8S ribosomal RNA (bases 1-52)
Source: RNAcentral